RNAcentral lists this ribosomal RNA (429 nucleotides) under bacterium. RNAcentral describes it as "partial 16S ribosomal RNA". It matches the Rfam family "Bacterial small subunit ribosomal RNA", at positions 355 to 776 of the family's 1533-position model. The record is from RNAcentral.
UAGGGAAUCUUCCACAAUGGACGCAAGUCUGAUGGAGCAACGCCGCGUGAGUGAAGAAGGGUUUCGGAUCGUAAAGCUCUGUUGUUGGUGAAGAAGGAUAGAGGUAGUAACUGGCCUUUAUUUGACGGUAAUCAACCAGAAAGUCACGGCUAACUACGUGCCAGCAGCCGCGGUAAUACGUAGGUGGCAAGCGUUGUCCGGAUUUAUUGGUCGUAAAGCGAGCGCAGGCGGAAGAAUAAGUCUGAUGUGAAAGCCCUCGGCUUAACCGAGGAACUGCAUCGGAAACUGUUUUUCUUGAGUGCAGAAGAGGAGAGUGGAAUUCCAUGUGUAGCGGUGGAAUGCGUAGAUAUAUGGAAGAACACCAGUGGCGAAGGCGACUCUCUGGUCUGCAACUGACGCUGAGGCUCGAAAGCAUGGGUAGCGAACAGG